Unclassified non-coding RNA from Pongo abelii (Sumatran orangutan), 117 nucleotides. It matches the Rfam family "Metazoan signal recognition particle RNA". From Rfam's summary of the family: The signal recognition particle (SRP) is a universally conserved ribonucleoprotein. It is involved in the co-translational targeting of proteins to membranes. The record is from Ensembl. NCBI's taxonomy places the organism in Eukaryota, Metazoa, Chordata, Mammalia, Primates, Hominidae.
GCUGGGCGUGGCAGCUCACGCCUGUAAUCCCAGCACUUUGGGAGGCCGAGGUGGGUGGAUCACCUGAGGCCAGGAGUUCGAGACCAGCCUGGCCAACAUGGUGAAACCCCAUCUCUA